RNAcentral lists this ribosomal RNA (254 nucleotides) under uncultured bacterium. RNAcentral's name for it is "partial 16S ribosomal RNA". It matches the Rfam family "Bacterial small subunit ribosomal RNA", at positions 524 to 777 of the family's 1533-position model. The record is from RNAcentral.
UACGUAGGGGGUAAGCGUUGUCCGGAUUUAUUGGGCGUAAAGCGCUCGCAGGUGGUUCAUUGCGUCGUGCGUGAAAGACCCCGGCUCAACUGGGGAGGGUCGUGCGAAACGGGUGAACUAGAGGCCAGUAGGGGGAUGUGGAAUUCCGGGUGUAGUGGUGGAAUGCGUAGAGAUCCGGAGGAACACCAGCGGCGAAGGCGGCAUCCUGGACUGGUCCUGACACUCAGGAGCGAAAGCGUGGGGAGCGAGUCCGG